ACGAUGAACCACCUUCGGGUGGGGAUUAGUGGCGAACGGGUGAGUAACACGUGGGCAAUCUGCCCUUCACUCUGGGACAAGCCCUGGAAACGGGGUCUAAUACCGGAUACUGACCUGCCAAGGCAUCUUGGCGGGUCGAAAGCUCCGGCGGUGAAGGAUGAGCCCGCGGCCUAUCAGCUUGUUGGUGAGGUAAUGGCUCACCAAGGCGACGACGGGUAGCCGGCCUGAGAGGGCGACCGGCCACACUGGGACUGAGACACGGCCCAGACUCCUACGGGAGGCAGCAGUGGGGAAUAUUGCACAAUGGGCGAAAGCCUGAUGCAGCGACGCCGCGUGAGGGAUGACGGCCUUCGGGUUGUAAACCUCUUUCAGCAGGGAAGAAGCGAAAGUGACGGUACCUGCAGAAGAAGCGCCGGCUAACUACGUGCCAGCCGCCGCGGU
This 441-nucleotide ribosomal RNA is filed under the name Streptomyces sp. SA_26. RNAcentral describes it as "bacterial SSU rRNA". It matches the Rfam family "Bacterial small subunit ribosomal RNA", at positions 66 to 521 of the family's 1533-position model. Lineage: Bacteria; Bacillati; Actinomycetota; Actinomycetes; Kitasatosporales; Streptomycetaceae. The record is from RNAcentral.